GAUCCUGGCUCAGGACGAACGCUGGCGGCGCGCCUAACACAUGCAAGUCGAACGAGAGAGAGGAAGCUUGCUUCCUCAAUCGAGUGGCGAACGGGUGAGUAACGCGUGAGGAACCUGCCUCAAAGAGGGGGACAACAGUUGGAAACGACUGCUAAUACCGCAUAAGCCCACGGCUCGGCAUCGAGCAGAGGGAAAAGGAGCAAUCCGCUUUGAGAUGGCCUCGCGUCCGAUUAG
Molecule: ribosomal RNA, 234 nt
Filed under: uncultured bacterium
Lineage: Bacteria
Description: partial 16S ribosomal RNA
Rfam family: Bacterial small subunit ribosomal RNA
Source: RNAcentral